RNAcentral lists this long non-coding RNA (569 nucleotides) under Homo sapiens (human). Its description in RNAcentral is "HSALNT0359920". The record is from RNAcentral. Lineage: Eukaryota; Metazoa; Chordata; Mammalia; Primates; Hominidae.
AGAUUCCAGAGAGUGGCCUGGGGCACAAGAUACUCAACCAGAGCAGACAGUGUCAGCCUCUGUCAUGGAAAGUGCAGAAUCUGGAGCUAGAGAAAAAUUUAAAAAGCCACAAGGAUGUGAAUUGCUGAGCCUGAGAUAGAAGAGGUAGGGAAAAAAAACAUAAGAACCUGCUUGUCUUCUGUUGAGUUAAAACGAACUAUUUUUUAAAAUAGUGUGAAAUAAAGGAAAUGAGAGACAUAUUAAGGAUAUGCUACAGUGAAUGUAGAGACAAGUGUAAGAGGGAUUUAGAAAGACAUAUUUAAUAUGUUUUUCUGAGUAGUUUUAAUGAGAACUCACUUUGAUAUUUAUAAGGAGAUAACAAACUUGAUGUAAAUUAACUUACAAUCAUUUUGGGUUGUCAUACUAAAGUUUCUUAAAAUGUGACUUGAUGUCAGAACUAGAGCAAAAAUCUGCUUAGUUUAAAGUAAUUUGUUUAAUUGUUUGGAAUUUCUCUUGGCAUUCUUAUUUCUCUCCCCAAAUACAGUGUAUGUUUCUGAAAAGCAAAGGUUCAGUGUUUCCCAUAGUAACUA